Molecule: ribosomal RNA, 458 nt
Filed under: uncultured bacterium
Lineage: Bacteria
Description: partial 16S ribosomal RNA
Rfam family: Bacterial small subunit ribosomal RNA
Source: RNAcentral
CCUACGGGUGACAGCAGUGAGGAAUAUUGGUCAAUGGGCGAGAGCCUGAACCAGCCAAGUCGCGUGAGGGAGUACUGCCCUAUGGGUUGUAAACCUCUUUUGUCGGGGAGCAAAAGCCGGACGUGUCCGGCUGUGAGAGUACCCGAAGAAAAAGCAUCGGCUAACUCCGUGCCAGCAGUCGCGGUAAUACGGAGGAUGCGAGCGUUAUCCGGAUUUAUUGGGUUUAAAGGGUGCGCAGGAGGAUUUUUAAGUCAGCGGUAAAAUCGUGGGGCUCAACCCCAUCCAGCCGGUGAAACUGUGGAUCUAGAGUGUGCGAGAGGUAUGCGGAAUGCGUGGUGUAGCGGUGAAAUGCAUAGAUAUCACGCAGAACCCCGAUUGCGAAGGCAGCAUACCGGUGCACAACUGACGCUCAGGCACGAAAGCGUGGGUAUCGAACAGGAUUAGAUACCCCUGUAGUC